GCUGGCCCUGAGAGCCGGCGCAGAGCGGAGGGAGGGCGGCGGGAGCCCGGUAACGAUCGUAACGGAAGGGCCGCCGGGGGAAAGGGGCACCGCGGUCUCCUGCAGCAGCCCCGCGGCCAGGGCCCGGCUCCAAACCGCGGUCCCGGCGCGGAGCAGGAAAACAGCAGCGGAAAGAACGAGAUGGUACUCGGCUCUUGCCUCGGAGCUAUGCGCAGAGCAGGGGAUGAUCCACCCGCUCCCUUCGGGGUGCAGCGGGGCUGCCAGAAUGGGGGAAACUCAAAAUAUCGGCAGGAUGCAAUGCUUGGCUGUCCCAGGCGCAAAGUUUGGGGUGCAGAACGAGAAGUGAGAUGCAGAGAGCCAAGGCCUCUGCUUUCAGCCGCUGAAGCAGGCGGGUUUUCCCUGAGGACACACUGCCAACCCUGUGCUGUCAUCCCUGUGCUUCCAGAGCAGAACCGAGCUGUGGGAUGCUUCCUAUCGGGACACCCGUUUCAACCUGCUCAUUCCUAAAACACACAGAAUAAUACAGAGCCGAUAAGACAUUUGCCUGUGUGUUCUUGUCCCUGGGAUAUGUAACAUGCUUUUAUGUUCUGAUCUGGCUCGCUUGAACGAGACUGCUGAAAACAGCACAGCCAGCAGCUGUGUGCAGGAGGAAACAAUGGACUUGCUUUUUCUUCACUGCAGAAUUGCAGCCUGGAGGUGAGGAAACUUUGCUUCGCUCACCAUAUUCCUCCCGAGCGCUGCGGCAGAGGAAAUAAAAGGCUCUUGUGUUCCUGUAUCCUCCCGGGC
RNAcentral lists this long non-coding RNA (786 nucleotides) under Cyanistes caeruleus (blue tit). Its description in RNAcentral is "lncRNA (ENSCCEG00000006532.1)". Lineage: Eukaryota; Metazoa; Chordata; Aves; Passeriformes; Paridae. The record is from RNAcentral.